AUUGAACGCUGGCGGUAUGCUUAACACAUGCAAGUCGAACGGCAGCAUGGUCUAGCUUGCUAGACUGAUGGCGAGUGGCGGACGGGUGAGUAACGCGUAGGAAUAUGCCUUGAAGAGUGGGACAACUUGGGGAAACUCAAGCUAAUACCCCAUGUCAUCGAGAGAGUAAAGCUGGGGACCUUUAGGCCUGGCGCUUUAAGAUUAGCCUGCGUCCGAUUAGCUAGUUGGCAGGGUAAAGGCCUACCAAGGCGACGAUCGGUAGCUGGUCUGAGGAGAUUGUCAGCCACACGGGAAAUGAGAGACGGUCCAGACGCCUACGGGAGGCAGCAGUGGGGAAUAUUGGACAAUGGGGGGAACCCUGAUCCAGCAAUGCCGCGUGUGUGAAGUAGGCCUGAGUGUUGUAAGGCACUUUCAGUGGGGAGGAGGUUUGGAAGGUUAAGAGCUAUUCAAAUGGACGUUACCCACAGAAGAAGCACCGGCUAACUCCGUGCCAGCCGCCGCAGUAA
This 506-nucleotide ribosomal RNA is filed under the name uncultured bacterium. Its description in RNAcentral is "partial 16S ribosomal RNA". It matches the Rfam family "Bacterial small subunit ribosomal RNA", at positions 30 to 523 of the family's 1533-position model. The record is from RNAcentral.